CCUACGGGAGGCAGCAGUGGGGAAUAUUGGUCAAUGGCCGAGAGGCUGAACCAGCCACGUCGCGUGGGGGAAGAAUGUCCUAUGGAUUGUAAACCUCUUUUGUCAGGGAGCAAAGUCCCCCACGUGUGGGUGUUGGCCAGUACCUGAACAAACAGCAUCGGCUAACUCCGUGCCAGCAGCCGCGGUAAUACGGAUGAUUCAAGCGUUAUCCGGAUUUAUUGGGUUUAAAGGGUGCGUAGGCGGUAGGACAAGUUAGACGUGAAAUCCCGAGGCUCAACUUCGGUAGUGCUUUUGAAACUGUUAGGCUAGAGAGUAGGAGCGGUAGGCGGAAUGCAUGGUGUAGCGGUGAAAUGCAUAGAGAUCAGACAGAACACCGAUUGCGAAGGCAGCUUACCGAGCUACGACUGACGUUGAGGCACGAAAGCGUGGGGAGCAAACAGGAUUAGAUACCCCUGUAGUC
This 460-nucleotide ribosomal RNA is filed under the name uncultured bacterium. RNAcentral describes it as "partial 16S ribosomal RNA". It matches the Rfam family "Bacterial small subunit ribosomal RNA", at positions 338 to 795 of the family's 1533-position model. The record is from RNAcentral.